RNAcentral lists this ribosomal RNA (253 nucleotides) under uncultured bacterium. Its description in RNAcentral is "partial 16S ribosomal RNA". It matches the Rfam family "Bacterial small subunit ribosomal RNA", at positions 524 to 776 of the family's 1533-position model. The record is from RNAcentral.
UACAGAGGGGGCAAGCGUUGUUCGGAAUUACUGGGCGUAAAGGGCGCGUAGGCGGCCUGCUAAGUCGAACGUGAAAUCCCCGAGCUCAACUCGGGAACUGCGUCCGAUACUGGCAGGCUUGAAUCCGGGAGAGGGAUGCGGAAUUCCAGGUGUAGCGGUGAAAUGCGUAGAUAUAGGAAGGAAUACCAGUGGCGAAGGCGGCCUCCUGGAUCGAUACUGACGCUGAGGCGCGAAAGCGUGGGGAGCAAACAGG